Molecule: ribosomal RNA, 1287 nt
Filed under: Triticum aestivum (bread wheat)
Lineage: Eukaryota; Viridiplantae; Streptophyta; Magnoliopsida; Poales; Poaceae
Description: partial small subunit ribosomal RNA
Source: RNAcentral
AUGCGCGAACAGGAUGAACACAAGACAGCAUUCAAAACUCACCACGGCCAUUUCCAAUUCAGAGUCAUGCCAUUCGGGUUGACAAAUGCUCCGGCCACGUUCCAAUGCCUGAUGAACGCUAUCUUCGCCAAGUAUACCCGUAAGUUUGUCAUCAUUUUUCUUGACGACAUCCUUGUUUUCAGUGAGACACUCGAGGACCAUUUGGAACAUCUCCGCAUCAUCCUCAACUUGCUCCGCGAGCACCAGCUAUAUGCCAAGAUGUCCAAGUGCUCGUUCGCGCAAGAUCACAUUGAUUAUCUGGGUCACGUCAUCUCCAAGCAGGGCGUCGCGACUGAUGCUGAGAAGACAGACGCCAUGGCGCAGUGGCCUACUCCAACCAACGCCACCGAGCUCCGUGGCUUUCUGGGGCUCACCGGCUAUUACCGCAAGUUCGUUCCCCACUACGGGAUCAUUGCCAAGCCGCUAACCCAACAGCUCACCAAGAAAGGCUUUGCAUGGCCCGAGUCGGCGCAGCUCGCGUUCGACACGCUCAAGAAGGCGAUGGUGACCACGCCGGUGCUCGCCCUUCCUGACUUUGACAAGCCAUUCUCCAUCGAAACCGACGCCUGCGACACCGGCAUCAGUGCCGUGCUCGUCCAAGACGGCCACCCCAUCGCAUACUACAUCAAGGCGUUGGGCGUGAAGAACCAGAAGCUCUCCACCUACGAGAAAGAGUUCUUGGCCGUCAUGAUGGCCGUGGACAAAUGGCGCUCUUACCUGCAACGCGGGCCGUUCACCAUUGUCACGGACCACAAAAGCUUAUGCACGCUUGGGGACCAGCAUCUGGUGACCGAUGUCCAGCGCCGCGCCAUGUCCAAAUUGGUCGGCCUCCAAUUCAAGUUCCAGUACAAGAAGGGCGUCGACAACAGCGCGGCGGAUGCUCUCUCUAGCGUGGGCAGUCACUACAGCGCCAAUGCUCUGUCCCUCUGCCAGCCAACAUGGAUUCAGGAAGUGGCCAAUUCGUAUGCCACGGAUCCAGAUGCCCAGGAAAAGAUUCAGCAGCUCGCGCUGCACAGUCCGGACGACGAGGAGUACGAGCUGUACCGUGGAGUCAUUCGCCGUCGCGGGUGGCUGUGGAUCGGCGCAAACACAGCCCUGCGCACCAAACUGAUCAGCGCUCUGCAUGACAGUGCCGUGGGGGGCCAUUCUGGCUCGACAGCAACUUACCACCGAGUCAAGAAGCUGUUUGAGUGGAAGGGUCUGAAACAUGAUGUUGAAGAUUAUGUGCGGCAGUGCCAGAUUUGUUAA